RNAcentral lists this ribosomal RNA (1197 nucleotides) under Bilharziella polonica. RNAcentral describes it as "eukaryotic LSU rRNA". It matches the Rfam family "Eukaryotic large subunit ribosomal RNA", at positions 87 to 925 of the family's 3401-position model. The record is from RNAcentral. Lineage: Eukaryota; Metazoa; Platyhelminthes; Trematoda; Strigeidida; Schistosomatidae.
CUGCGAGUGAACAGGGAAUAGCCCAGCACCGAAGCCUGCGGUUAUUUGACUGCAAGGCAAUGUGGUGUUUAGGUUGGUUCCUGGCAUUACUGCUCUGCCCCAAGUCCAGCAAUGAGUACGGCAUACCGUUCUGGCCCAAAGAGGGUGAAAGGCCCGUGGGGGUAGAGACCAAGCAUGACAGUUCUGUCCAGAGCUAACCUUGGAGUCGGGUUGUUUGAGAAUGCAGCCCAAAGUGGGUGGUAAACUCCAUCCAAGGCUAAAUACUUACACGAGUCCGAUAGUAAACAAGUACCGUGAGGGAAAGUUGAAAAGUACUUUGAAGAGAGAGUAAACAGUGCGUGAAACCGCUCAGAGGUAAACGGGUGGAGUUGAACUGCGAUCCUUGGGAAUUCAGCUGAUGAGCAUGAUUUGUGCUUGGGCAUAUUGGCCGCCUUUCAGUGUCUGUCUAAUUACAGGUGCCUGCCUAUAGGUAGGUAUGUGUGGUGCGCUUAUCAUGUGCUGCACGCAUUGRAGGGUGUAUGGGUCUGCUUGUCAGUGCACUUUCUCAGGGUGUUCACCACGACCGGCACUGCUGUCUGUCUGCUGUAGUCAAACUGAUCAGGCCUGAUUAACGUUGGGCUUGGUUGGGUUGGUAGUUGAAUUUCUGGCCGACUAUAGUGGAUCUGUACGGUGUGUCGGAGACUGCGGCUAUAUAUAUGUGCUCUGUCCUUCAGGCGGGGUUGAGUCUGGUCGACUUGUUGCUGGUUUCGGCCGGUCAGUUGAUGGCUUGAUCCUGUUCAGCUGGCAGUUGCUUGUGUUUUAAUUUUGGCCAACAGUCUGUGGUGUUGUGGUAGACUAUCCACCUGACCCGUCUUGAAACACGGACCAAGGAGUUUAACAUGUGCGCGAGUCAUUGGGUAUUACGAAUCCCAAAGGCGUAGUGAAGGUAAAGGUUCGGCUUGUCCGGACUAAGGUGAGAUCCUGUUGUUUUGCUCUUUAACUCCAAGUCGCGAGCAGCAGGCGCAUCACCGGCCCGUCCCAUGACGUAGACAUGUGGCCUUGUGCUAUGUGCACCGUCGGGGCGGAGCAAGAGCGUACAUGUUGAGACCCGAAAGAUGGUGAACUAUGCUUGCGAAGGUUGAAGCCAGAGGAAACUCUGGUGGAGGACCGUAGCGAUUCUGACGUGCAAAUCGAUCGUAUAACGUGAGUAUAGGGGCG